ACAACGACUCUCGGCAACGGAUAUCUCGGCUCUCGCAUCGAUGAAGAACGCAGCGAAAUGCGAUACCUGGUGUGAAUUGCAGAAUCCCGUGAAUCAUCGAGUCUUUGAACGCAAGUUGCGCCCGAGGCCUUUAGGCCGAGGGCACGCCUGCCUGGGCGUCACG
This 163-nucleotide ribosomal RNA is filed under the name Phragmanthera regularis. RNAcentral's name for it is "5.8S ribosomal RNA". It matches the Rfam family "5.8S ribosomal RNA". Rfam says of the family: 5.8S ribosomal RNA (5.8S rRNA) is a component of the large subunit of the eukaryotic ribosome. It is transcribed by RNA polymerase I as part of the 45S precursor that also contains 18S and 28S rRNA. The record is from RNAcentral. Lineage: Eukaryota; Viridiplantae; Streptophyta; Magnoliopsida; Santalales; Loranthaceae.